GAUGAAGAACGUAGCGAAAUGCGAUACGUAAUGUGAAUUGCAGAAUUCAGUGAAUCAUCGAAUCUUUGAACGCACCUUGCGCUCUUUGGUAUUCCGAAGAGCAUGCUUGUUUGAGUGUCAUGAAAAUAUCAACCUUGACUUGGGUUUUGUGCUCUAGUCUCGGCUUGGAAUUGGGUGCUUGCCGCUUUUACGAGCGGCUCACCUUAAAUGUAUUAGCUGGAUCUGUCUUUGAGACUUGGUUUGACUUGGCGUAAUAAGUAUUUCGCUAAGGACAUUCUUCGGAGUGGCCUCGUUUCUAGGACGCUUGUCCGCUUUCCAAUACAAGUUCCACCUCGUGGACAUGACUUUUUAUUAUCUGGCCUCAAAUCAGGUAGGACUACCCGCUGAACUUAAGCAUAUCAAUAAGCGGAGGA
This 413-nucleotide unclassified non-coding RNA is filed under the name soil metagenome. RNAcentral describes it as "partial contains 5.8S ribosomal RNA, internal transcribed spacer 2, and large subunit ribosomal RNA". The stretch from base 1 to 120 matches the Rfam family "5.8S ribosomal RNA", at positions 35 to 154 of the family's 154-position model. The record is from RNAcentral.